Molecule: non-coding RNA, 522 nt
Organism: Salvia hispanica
Lineage: Eukaryota; Viridiplantae; Streptophyta; Magnoliopsida; Lamiales; Lamiaceae
Source: RefSeq, a predicted model, not a curated record
GAUGAUGAAGAGCAAAAGAAGCUGCCGGAUGAAGUUAAAAAUAGUGAAGAUUACAAGAAAUACUUGCAACUCAUAACCGAGAGUGAAGGCUAUGAUUGUGGCUCCUUCGAUUUCCCUCAUUUUGACCUCAAGAUCACUCAAGCAACUCAGCAGCUUAUAGAUAGAAACAGUGUUUAUGUGGAACCUGCCCUCCAAGACUACAACAAACAACAUAAUAGGAAGCUGGUGUUUGAUAGUGUUUGAUAGCAUUGAGAAGAUGAACAUCCAGUCUGCAGUAUGCUACUAUGAGAAGUAUUAUGUGACCUUCAAAGUUAAGGACAUGGAUGACGUGGUGCCCUCAAGACCUUCUAGUGCAGCUUCUUGUGUUUCAUGUCAGGCCCUAGUUUUGAACAAUUUCGGGAGAAACCAACCCAACCCUAGUUUUGAAUAUUAGUACUCCAUAUGAGAGUGAGUAGAGUAUGCUGCUGUAUGCCAACAUAAACAUAUCUACUCUUCUUUAAUCUAUUUACAAAAUUACUCCCA